Ceratotherium simum simum (southern white rhinoceros) is the source of this 102-nucleotide non-coding RNA. NCBI's taxonomy places the organism in Eukaryota, Metazoa, Chordata, Mammalia, Perissodactyla, Rhinocerotidae. The record is from RefSeq and is a predicted model, not a curated record.
CAGUGUAUGCAUGUUGGGGUUACCUUUAUCUUUUCUAUAAGUUGUGCCAAAACAUCUACUUAAAUUCAUUUAUUUUAAGGAAUUGUAGAAAUCCAAGACCUU